Long non-coding RNA from Hyaena hyaena (striped hyena), 691 nucleotides. RefSeq lists it as uncharacterized. Lineage: Eukaryota; Metazoa; Chordata; Mammalia; Carnivora; Hyaenidae. The record is from RefSeq and is a predicted model, not a curated record. The transcript has 4 exons.
UCAACAUGCACCCACGCACUCACCCUCCCGUCAACUCUCCCCCCACCUCCCUCCACCCAGCGUUUAUUUGACUACCACCCGUCAGCACGGUGCAGAUGUCGGGGUCCAGGACAGCCGCUCCCUGUGUUACUGGAGUUCCAGUCUGGCAGGAAAGUGGAUGAGGUGCCGGUGAGCGGAGGGGCCUCGGGCACAGUGAGGACCACAGGUGCCGAGGAUGUGUGAGCCGGCGGCUUCCGGUGCAGGACCCGGUCCAGGCCAGCCUUAUUCGUGCGAUUUCAGAAGCGAACAAGAUCCUCUAAAACUCCAGCUUUCACGGGGCGCCGGGGCCUCAGGCAGAUACCUAAUCCCAAUGAAGCUGAGUGAAAAUCAUCAUCAGGGGCUGACCGGAAUACGCUGGAAGUUGAAGAUUGCCCUUGAACUUGCUCUGACUCGGGUCCCCGUGAGAGCCUCCUGGCCGGCGUGGGCUCUCAUACCUGUCCUCAAGCGGGCACCGUGGAGAGCUGGCCCUCUGCUGUUUCUUCUGUGUGAUGGGGGAAACAGAGCAAGAGAAAUGUCACUUAAAUCUCCUGACAGCUCGCAGCCCACUGACGGACGCCUGAAAUAUGUAGUGUGACCUUCCUCGAGCAACUCAUGGCUGCCUUAGAGCCUUAAUGUUUAUGGUUUUUUAAAUUUUUUUUAAUGUUUAUUUUUU